This 60-nucleotide transfer RNA is filed under the name Batillipes longispinosus. RNAcentral's name for it is "tRNA-Tyr". The record is from RNAcentral. Lineage: Eukaryota; Metazoa; Tardigrada; Heterotardigrada; Arthrotardigrada; Batillipedidae.
GAAAGGAUGUCUGAUAAAAGAGUAGGAUUGUAAAUCCUAAUAUGGUUAAGCCUUCUUUCA